AUGCUGAAGCUGCCAGCACUGCAGAAGCUUAGUCUGAAGGUGAGCGCGUGGAUUAUGAGCACAGUUAGCGUCAGCCGCAGGGAGAUUAAAUUGGGGGACAACAAGGUUCUUAAGUUUUACCCAGAGGAUUUCUACAAGGUUUUUGGGAUUCCAUGCGGCCACCGUAGUGUGAAGGGGAGGGAUGCAAACAAAAAUCCUGAGGUUGUUCAUUUUAUAAAGACAACACUUCAGAUGAACAAAACUGGAGUACACAGCUUGAGGGCAGCUGAAGAUUUCCUGAUGCAUGACAUCAAUGAGAAUUCAAGCAAACUAGAGAAAUAUUGUUUCGAGAUCGCAUUUGUAAUCUUCGUUAUGGGUCAUGUGCUAGUUCCAACCAUGAAGCACAACUACACGACCAUUGACUUUUGGGGAGCCAUAGCGAACACUGAAUCAAUCUAUCAAUUUAAUUGGUGUGAGUAUGUCCUUCAGCACCUUCUCGAUGCAGUCAAGAAGCUUAAGAAAGACAUGAUGGCCAACAAUUUAUCGACCAACCUAACUGGUUGUCAUCUUUUUUCAGGUAUUUUUGCUUGA
This 570-nucleotide ribosomal RNA is filed under the name Triticum aestivum (bread wheat). RNAcentral describes it as "partial small subunit ribosomal RNA". The record is from RNAcentral. Lineage: Eukaryota; Viridiplantae; Streptophyta; Magnoliopsida; Poales; Poaceae.